This is a long non-coding RNA of Triplophysa dalaica, 1067 nucleotides long. RefSeq lists it as uncharacterized. NCBI's taxonomy places the organism in Eukaryota, Metazoa, Chordata, Actinopteri, Cypriniformes, Nemacheilidae. The record is from RefSeq and is a predicted model, not a curated record. The transcript is spliced from 4 exons.
UGUGUGUGUGUGUGUAAAGUCCCUUUGAAUCAUUUUUAAUCAUGUGAAUGAGGAUUAUGUAAUUAUUUAUAUUCACAAACAGUAUUGAAGAAUUUGAUUUUCAAACGCUAUACCCUAUUUAUAUUAGAAUGAAAUAGACAAAUAAUUGUUCUAUUGAAAGGAUCUAGCUACAGGCCAAAGCUCGACUCGGCGGAAGCAUAAAUAUAGCAGCGCGGAAGGAUACAUGAGUGAAUAGACAGUGAUUCCAACUGUCAGUCUCUGUCAGUGUCGAACAAAUUCGGGAGGAUGACAUUUAUCCACGGAGGAUUUAAUCACGGAGUAAUUAUUUCAUUUUGGGAUAGAGGUCACUGAAGAGGAGAGAAGUAAAUUCAAAGAUAAUGAAGUUGAUGGAGAAGCAGUGGACUAUGGAUUGACUGAGAGAAUGGUUUCAUACCUCUUUGAAGGAUUGUUUAAGAAGCAAGCAAAAUACAACCGAUUUGUUCAGCAGUGGAAAGAAACCGUGACACUAACCCUCGAGCCUGUCCCGGUACAUUCAGAGAAGGCUACACCGGAAUCAAGUCAUGCAAUCCCAUCAUCAGCCUUCCCAGCAGCUUUCAUCAUUCCUAAAUUUCCCAGAGAUGUUCAGACAAAGUUGGACCAAAAACCGCCAUGCAAAAUGGAGAGAUCCGAUCACAACAAAAUCAUAAGAACAUUAUAUGAAACCAUGUCCCUGAUCAAAAUGUUUCUGACCAAUGACGACUACGUGAAAGUGUGUAAGGCCCUGAUUUUGAAAUACCCUUUCUUAAAGGACAAAGAAGGAAAUGGUUAUUUUAUUCCCUGUAUCUAUUCUCUUAUAUCGCUGUUUUGUUUUUGGAGUGGCAGUAUGAAGUUGAGAGUUGGUCAAUGAAAUGCUUCUUAAAAAUGUAUUUAAUUUUUUUUAAUGUUUUUUUUAUAUCAGACAUGACAUCCUAAACAUUGUGGCAUUUUAUUUUGGGAUGUUACAUUGUAUGGUUGUGAGAUGAAUUAUUAUUGAAUCUGUGAAUUAAACUGUUUUCCAUAUAUGGACUAAAAUAAAUGUCUAAAAUUCA